CAGCAGCCGCGGGAAUACGAAGGGUGCAAGCGUUACUCGGAAUUACUGGGCGUAAAGCGUGUGUAGGUGGUUUGUUAAGUCUGUUGUGAAAUCCCCGGGCUCAACCUGGGAAUGGCAAUGGAUACUGGCAAGCUAGAGUGUGUCAGAGGAUGGUGGAAUUCCCGGUGUAGCGGUGAAAUGCGUAGAGAUCGGGAGGAACAUCAGUGGCGAAGGCGGCCAUCUGGGACAACACUGACGCUGAGGCACGAAAGCGUGGGGAGCAAGCAGGAUUAGAUACCCCAGUAGUCCCUGUCUCUUAUAC
RNAcentral lists this ribosomal RNA (301 nucleotides) under uncultured bacterium. Its description in RNAcentral is "partial 16S ribosomal RNA". It matches the Rfam family "Bacterial small subunit ribosomal RNA", at positions 509 to 807 of the family's 1533-position model. The record is from RNAcentral.